Molecule: long non-coding RNA, 1369 nt
Filed under: Macaca fascicularis (crab-eating macaque)
Lineage: Eukaryota; Metazoa; Chordata; Mammalia; Primates; Cercopithecidae
Description: lncRNA (ENSMFAG00000053008.1)
Source: RNAcentral
UAUCCUUGGAUAUCAGAACUCCAGGCUCCGGCCUUUGGACUCCAGGACUUAACACCAGCAGCUCCCAGAUUCUCAGGCAUUCAGCCUCCAACUGAGAGUUACACCAUUGGCUUUCCUGAUUUUGAUGCCUUCAGACUUGGUUUAAGCCAUGCUACCAGCAUCCCAGAGCCUCCAGUUUGCAGAUGGCCCGUUGGGAGACUUCCCACCCUCCAUAAUUAUUUGAAUGGCUCUGUUUUCCAUCAAUGAUGACAGCUUUUAAUCAUAGAUCUCAAGCCCAUUAUGAACAUUAAUUAAUGUCUGACAUCGCUUAAUGAGAUGGAGCCUUGCCCUGUUGCCCAAGCUGGAGUGCCAUGGCUUGAUACUGGCUGUCUGCAACCUCCACCUCCCGGGUUCAAGUGAUUCUCCUGCCUCAGCCUCCCAAGUAGCUUGGAUUACAGCAACUGAAAAUCUCUGCAACAACUUGGCAAUGGAAUGUGAAGGAGCCGAACAAGGAAGGACCAGACGACUGACUCAUGGGGUUUGGUUGAAGGAGAUGAGGGCAAGGAGAAAAGGGAUAUGAAGAGGGUUGUAGAGGCUGUGGGAGGAAGGAGAUAGAAAAGGCCUUCGGCAAAGAUGCUUUUCUGCCUACAUCUAUGUUGGCCAUAUGGGGAUGCCAUAAAUACCUUGAACACUGGAGGAGCUAGGUGUGGCACCAGACAUCAAGAUGGCCCUUAAGGAUUCUAGCCUCCUGGUAUUCAUGUUCUUAUAUGGUCUCCUCCAACAUUGAAAAGGGCUGACCUGUGUAACCAAUAGGAUAUUGUGGGAAUGAUGGAGUUUGUCUUUUGAGGCUAGAUCAUGAAAGACAUGUGGUUCUUGGACCACUUAAUCAUGGAGAAGACGGCUGCCAUGUUGUGAAGACUCUCAAGCAGCUCUGUGGAGAGGUCCAUAGGUGAGGAACUGAGACCCCCCUCCAAGUGAGCAAUCUUGGAGGUGGAUCCUUUCCUCUCAUUCAGGCCUUCAGAUGACUACAGCCUGGGCUGGUAUCUUGACUACAACCUUAUGGGGAACCCUAAGGCAACACCAGCUAAGAUUCUCCUGAAUUCCUCACCCGAAGAAACUAUGAGAUAAUAAAUCUGUGUUGGUUUAAGCCACUGUGUAUUGAGAUAACUAAUUAUGUGGCAAUAGAAAACUAAUACGCUAAGAGAUGAAUUAGAGAAUCCACUCCAAGAUUCCACUGUCCAUUUGUUUAUUCUUUUAAAUUCUGUGUCUGCCUGACUGGCCCACAAGACUCUAGGAUUAUCAAGUAUACUACCCUACCCUUACAUAAUAAAGCGUGUAGGCUGGGUGAGGUGGCUUAUGCUGGUAAUCCUAGUGCUUUGGAAGGCUGAGG